RNAcentral lists this ribosomal RNA (498 nucleotides) under uncultured bacterium. RNAcentral's name for it is "partial 16S ribosomal RNA". It matches the Rfam family "Bacterial small subunit ribosomal RNA", at positions 30 to 523 of the family's 1533-position model. The record is from RNAcentral.
AUUGAACGCUGGCGGCAUGCCUUACACAUGCAAGUCGAACGGUAACAGGUCUUCGGAUGCUGACGAGUGGCGAACGGGUGAGUAAUACAUCGGAACGUGCCUAGUAGUGGGGGAUAACUACUCGAAAGAGUGGCUAAUACCGCAUGAGACCUACGGCUGAAAGCAGGGGAUCGCAAGACCUUGUGCUACUAGAGCGGCCGAUGGCAGAUUAGGUAGUUGGUGGGAUAAAAGCUUACCAAGCCGACGAUCUGUAGCUGGUCUGAGCGGACGAUCAGCCACACUGGGACUGAGAAACGGCCCAGACUCCUACGGGAGGCAGCAGUGGGGAAUUUUGGACAAUGGGCGCAAGCCUGAUCCAGCAAUGCCGCGUGCAGGAUGAAGGCCUUCGGGUUGUAAACUGCUUUUGUACGGAACGAAAAGCCCCGGGUUAAUACCCUGGGGUCAUGACGGUACCGUAAGAAUAAGCACCGGCUAACUACGUGCCAGCCGCCGCCGUAA